Molecule: non-coding RNA, 93 nt
Organism: Mycena capillaripes
Lineage: Eukaryota; Fungi; Basidiomycota; Agaricomycetes; Agaricales; Mycenaceae
Source: the annotation of a GenBank genome assembly
GCCCUCGUAGAUAAACAGUACAUCAUUCACUUUUCAUCAUCCAGUCUUGAAAUAUCAUCGUGGAGGCUGUGGGUUCGACUCCCACCGAGGGCA